Molecule: ribosomal RNA, 492 nt
Filed under: uncultured bacterium
Lineage: Bacteria
Description: partial 16S ribosomal RNA
Rfam family: Bacterial small subunit ribosomal RNA
Source: RNAcentral
AGUGAACGCUGGCGGUAGGCCUAACACAUGCAAGUCGAACGGCAGCACAGUAAGAGCUUGCUCUUACGGGUGGCGAGUGGCGGACGGGUGAGGAAUACAUCGGAAUCUACUUUUUCGUGGGGGAUAACGUAGGGAAACUUACGCUAAUACCGCAUACGACCUACGGGUGAAAGCAGGGGAUCUUCGGACCUUGCGCGAUUGAAUGAGCCGAUGUCGGAUUAGCUAGUUGGCGGGGUAAAGGCCCACCAAGGCGGCGAUCCGUAGCUGGUCUGAGAGGAUGAUGAGCCACACUGGAACUGAGACACGGUCCAGACUCCUACGGGAGGCAGCAGUGGGGAAUAUUGGACAAUGGGCGCAAGACUGAUCCAGCCAUACCGCGUGGGUGAAGAAGGCCUUCGGGUUGUAAAGCCCUUUUGUUGGGAAAGAAAAGCAGCAGGUUAAUACCCCGCUGUUCUGACGGUACCCAAAGAAUAAGCACCGGCUAACUUCGUG